Molecule: long non-coding RNA, 666 nt
Organism: Syngnathus typhle (broad-nosed pipefish)
Lineage: Eukaryota; Metazoa; Chordata; Actinopteri; Syngnathiformes; Syngnathidae
Exons: 3
Source: RefSeq, a predicted model, not a curated record
GUUCACUUUCGACAUCAGCCAACUAAGCAAACACACUUUUGUCAGUCGCAGUACGUUUGUAUAUUUUUGCACCUUCUGCCGCCUCGCAAAACCGAGCCGAGCUUGUCAGAGGAUCUCCCCUUCGCUCCCAAAUGGCCACAAAACACCUCCAGGAGACAUUCGUCAACCAGUCAGCCACACACGCAAACACACUAGCCUCCACUGUGUGUCUGGUCGGCUGCAAAUCUUUGGCGUUUGCAAUUUGGCACGGCGAACAAGAGAGACAAGCUGCUAGGUGCCGGCGCCAAACGUUGCCACCGUUACAGCCACAGUCAGCGAGUUGCGGUUACGGCCACUGCCAGGCCCACGGGCUGGCUGCACGAGAAGACGGCCUCAUUCAGAAAUAGCACAAACUGUACAGUAUGGACGCGGCAGCUGCUGAGUGCGAAAGACAAGCAGACGGACAGAGGAGACGGCGGGAGGCGGCGACAAGCACGUGGGAGACAUGAAAAUAUGCGAGAGAGCAAAGCCAGUGAGAGAGCAAAGCAGAACCUGUGAGAAAUGCAGCAGUGUUUUUCUUUUUUUCUUUUUCAUGCGUUGCUCUGACGACAUGUAUGAAAUCGGGUUGUCAGAAGAUGUUUGCGUAUGCUUAUUAUCUGGCGGGCACACAUGUAACAGCAUCAAAAC